UUGUCUUAAACAUUUAUUAAACAGUAAUACAUUAUUGUAGCAUAAAAUAACCAUUAGAAUCAAUCAUUUCCUGACAAAACCUGAUUAACAAAUUUAUUUUCACUAUUAACCUAUAAUUUGAUUUUUUUUUUUUCAAAUAAAAAAAAAAAUUAAGAAUAAUUUACUCUGAAUAUGAAAAGGAAAUAUUGCUGUCUUCAAAUUUUGACCUAACACUAUUUCUUUUACAGAACUCAUUCAAUGCUUAGGUUAGAUGAGUAACAAACAUAAUUUACUCGAGUUAUAUCAGUUUUACAGGAAAAUUCUGUCUUCAAUUGUCCGUUCACAUAAACAAGAAUCUUCUUGAUAACUUUCACGUGAAUCCUCAGUUAAAAGGUGUUUUGGAAGUGGUCGUUGACCACGUCUUUAUCCUUUUAGACUGUUUCUUUCCCCCAUUUACCAUGGUGACGGGUAUUCAUUACAACCUUCGACUUUGGUCCUCUUGGGUUGAAUUGGAAAGUAAUAUUUUCACUGUCAUCUUUAUCCUCUAGAAGAUUGACAGCAAAACCAC
RNAcentral lists this long non-coding RNA (547 nucleotides) under Mytilus galloprovincialis (Mediterranean mussel). Lineage: Eukaryota; Metazoa; Mollusca; Bivalvia; Mytilida; Mytilidae. The record is from RNAcentral.